UACGAAGGGGGCUAGCGUUGUUCGGAAUCACUGGGCGUAAAGGGCGCGUAGGCGGCUUUAUAAGUCGGGGGUGAAAGCCUGUGGCUCAACCACAGAAUUGCCUUCGAUACUGGAGAGCUUGAGUCCGGGAGAGGUGAGUGGAACUGCGAGUGUAGAGGUGAAAUUCGUAGAUAUUCGCAAGAACACCAGUGGCGAAGGCGGCUCACUGGCCCGGUACUGACGCUGAGGUGCGAAAGCGUGGGGAGCAAACAGGG
Molecule: ribosomal RNA, 254 nt
Filed under: uncultured bacterium
Lineage: Bacteria
Description: partial 16S ribosomal RNA
Rfam family: Bacterial small subunit ribosomal RNA
Source: RNAcentral